This 425-nucleotide ribosomal RNA is filed under the name uncultured bacterium. RNAcentral's name for it is "partial 16S ribosomal RNA". It matches the Rfam family "Bacterial small subunit ribosomal RNA", at positions 354 to 796 of the family's 1533-position model. The record is from RNAcentral.
GUGGGGAAUAUUGGACAAUGGGCGAAAGCCUGAUCCAGCAAUGCCGCGUGAGUGAUGAAGGCCUUAGGGUUGUAAAGCUCUUUUACCAGGGAUGAUAAUGACAGUACCUGGAGAAUAAGCUCCGGCUAACUCCGUGCCAGCAGCCGCGGUAAUACGGAGGGAGCUAGCGUUGUUCGGAAUUACUGGGCGUAAAGCGCACGUAGGCGGCUACUCAAGUCAGAGGUGAAAGCCCGGGGCUCAACCCCGGAACUGCCUUUGAAACUAGGUAGCUAGAAUCUUGGAGAGGUCAGUGGAAUUCCGAGUGUAGAGGUGAAAUUCGUAGAUAUUCGGAAGAACACCAGUGGCGAAGGCGACUGACUGGACAAGUAUUGACGCUGAGGUGCGAAAGCGUGGGGAGCAAACAGGAUUAGAAACCCCUGUAGUCC